CUUUACUGUAGCCUGGAAUUGGGUCCGGGCUUCGCUUGCGCAGGAUAGGUGGGAGGCACUGAAACACUCCUUGUGGGGAGUGUGGAGCCAACGGUGAGAUACCACUCUAGCGAGGCUAGGAUUCUAACUAAAUGCCGUUAUCCGGCUUUGGAACCGUAUCAGGUGGGCAGUUUGACUGGGGCGGUCGCCUCCUAAAAGGUAACGGAGGCGCGCAAAGGUUCCCUCCGGCUGGUUGGAAAUCAGCCCGUGAAGUGCAAAGGCAUAAGGGAGCUUGACUGCAAGAGCCACACCUCGAGCAGGGACGAAAGUCGGCCUUAGUGAUCCGACGGCGCUGAGUGGAAGGGCCGUCGCUCAACGGAUAAAAGUUA
This 368-nucleotide ribosomal RNA is filed under the name uncultured organism. RNAcentral describes it as "bacterial LSU rRNA". It matches the Rfam family "Bacterial large subunit ribosomal RNA", at positions 2099 to 2465 of the family's 2925-position model. The record is from RNAcentral.